Molecule: ribosomal RNA, 152 nt
Filed under: uncultured archaeon
Lineage: Archaea
Description: partial 16S ribosomal RNA
Rfam family: Archaeal small subunit ribosomal RNA
Source: RNAcentral
CCUACGGGGCCAGCAGGCGCGAAACCUUUACACUGCACGACAGUGCGAUAGGGGGAUCCCAAGUGCACAGGCAUAGCGCCUGUGCUUUUCGGUACCCUAAGGCGGUACCAGAAUAAGGGCUGGGCAAGACCGGUGCCAGCCGCCGCGGUAAA